RNAcentral lists this long non-coding RNA (2257 nucleotides) under Mus musculus (house mouse). RNAcentral's name for it is "long non-coding RNA chr3:67360222-67362479". Lineage: Eukaryota; Metazoa; Chordata; Mammalia; Rodentia; Muridae. The record is from RNAcentral.
UUUUUUUUUUUAACCAAAUCAAAUGUCCAAACAUGUUUCAAAACUAUUUUUACUAUCAUUUUACCCCAGAAUUUGGCCAAAUGUUUGACAUGAAGAUCACAAUAUUGUUUUUAUUAUGAAUUUUCCCAUUUCAGACAAACCUUUCAGCUGUCUGAUUAUUUAAAUCGCUCAGUUGGGAAUAGGGUAUUUAUAUUAGUUUGAUAUUGCUGGGAUAAAAUCCCCAAGUAAUACAGUUUACAGGAUGAAGGCUUUAUUUGGACUCAGGGUUUUGAAGGUCUCAGUCCAUCCUGACAGGAAAGCAUGGCAGAGCAGCUUAGACCACAGUUAACAGGAAGCAGAGUGCACAUCUGUGCUGGCAAGGCAUUCUCCUCACUCGCCUCUUAGACCAGUGCUUCUCAGCCUUCCCGAGGCUGUGACCCUUUAAUACAGCUCCUCAGGUCAUGGUGACCCCCAAAACUGUAAUUUUGGUGCUGUUAUGAAUCACAAUGUAAAUAUUUUUGGAGACAGAGGUUUGCCAAAGGGGCCAUACCCACAGGUAGAGAACCUCUGUCUUAGACCAUUCUGUUCACUUAACCUGUGAGAUGGUGACAGUCAUGUUCAGAAAAGUCUUCCCACAGUCCAUCCUUGUGGAUGUGUGCCCAGACGCAGUCAGAGUUGUAAGUCAGUCGUUUUCUUGGCAUGUCUCCAUCCAGGUAAGUUGACAACUAGAUUAAGCAGCUGAGUAUUGGUGGUAGAGUGAAAACUGUGCCUUUAAGCCUUGGACCCAAAAUAGACGGUAAGCUCAAUAAAAUAAAUGUUCAAGCUCUUUGGAACAAGUAUAAAAAAGUAAGUGAAUUUUAAAACCAAUUUAAUCUGUUUUCUCUGAUUUGUAUCUCCAAGGAUACAGGUUAUCUAUCUUCUCUUCUGGAAUAGCAUCUAUUGGCAGUAGCAAGGAUCUCAUUAAAGUCUACUUUGCAUUGUAUAUUUUGCAUUGAAUUUUUUUAAAGCACAAAUGUUUUCCAAAUACCAGCACAAUGAGCUGAGUGAUUACAGUAAAGAAGGGUACAUGGUUUUUGUUUGUUUGUUACUUUGGUUUUGCUUUGUUUUGGUUUUUAACAAAUUCUAUGGAUGGAUCAAAUGUAGAUAUGAACAUUCAGGGUGUGCCUCUUACCUCCUAUGUGUUCCUCUCCUUCCAAAGACAUAGAUCAAUUUUCAAAAAAGAAAAGCUCGCCAAUGUAGUAAGACAACACUUUCAACUCAACAAAUGUACCACUUUAUUUUUAGGUCUUUGAGAGGAGUUGCAAAAUGACACCACUACAGCUCUCAGAGAGGUGAACUGAGCUGACCCUCUUCUUAGCACCCUGUGCACAGUACUCAGACAAAUCUCACAGAAUGAAAACCCUGAUUCUGAAGCCCUUCAAUAAUGAGCUGCCAAGUCCUCGUGCCUUGAGAAAAAUCCACAACUGUGUCUAUCUCCAUGUUAAAAAAAUGGAUUUCUUUAAAAUGGAAAUUUUUAAAAAUUAUGUUUUCCAGAAACCAGGGCAGUGGCCUGAGUACUUACACUAAAGACAGGUGGAGUGGUGUUGGGGAGUUGUUUGUUUGUUUAGAAUUGUUUGGUUUUAUGUUUUCUUAAUAAAUUCUUUGGAUAGAUCACUUACAUUUUUUUGCAGCUAAAGUAAUUCUCCUUGACCUGGAGAAAAUAAGUCUUAGAAUUGUUAACUUUGUAACCGUUGGAAAUAAUGGUUUUCACCUGUGCCCCCUCCAGCAGAGUGGCUCUACUGUACUGCCCAAGUGAGGUACUGCAGAUAAGGGAGAGUUGGUGGGCUGACCAGCCCAGCUACCACCCAGACCCACCUCAAAAUCUACAUCAACUGUAAACUGUUGGAACACAUGAAAAGGCUGGUCCUGGUAGUCCAAAGCUGCCAUGACACAGGGCAACAGGAUAACUGGGAGGAGUCCCUGUGAGAAUCCAAUAUGGAUGACGUCACAGAAGCCACAGGCCUAGAACCGAAGCCACAGGUCUAGAACCAGACCAGUGACUCAUUACAAUGAACAUGUGCAAGUGAAGAUGCAUAGACAGAGGGUAUUCCGUGGGCUACACUGACAUCUUCCAUGAUGUUUUCUAUGCUUUGGGGUUUUUUUUUUUGUUUUGUUUUGUUUUUAGUUUUAAUUUGGGCCUUGGGAGGUUGCAAGGAAGAGGAUGGCUAUAAGGGGACCAAGAGAUGCGUGGGACUGGGGGGCAUGAUGUGAAACUCACUAAGAAUUAAUAAAAAAUUGG